GUGGAUUAGAUACCCUGGUAGUCCACGCCGUAAACGAUGAUAACUAGCUGUCCGGGCACUUGGUGCUUGGGUGGCGCAGCUAACGCAUUAAGUUAUCCGCCUGGGGAGUACGGUCGCAAGAUUAAAACUCAAAGGAAUUGACGGGGGCCUGCACAAGCGGUGGAGCAUGUGGUUUAAUUCGAAGCAACGCGCAGAACCUUACCAGCGUUUGACAUGGUUAGUAUGGUUUCCAGAGAUGGAUUCCUUCAGUUCGGCUGGCUAACACACAGGUGCUGCAUGGCUGUCGACAACU
Molecule: ribosomal RNA, 292 nt
Filed under: uncultured bacterium
Lineage: Bacteria
Description: partial 16S ribosomal RNA
Rfam family: Bacterial small subunit ribosomal RNA
Source: RNAcentral